RNAcentral lists this ribosomal RNA (381 nucleotides) under uncultured bacterium. RNAcentral describes it as "partial 16S ribosomal RNA". It matches the Rfam family "Bacterial small subunit ribosomal RNA", at positions 338 to 716 of the family's 1533-position model. The record is from RNAcentral.
CCUACGGGUGGCAGCAGUGAGGAAUAUUGGUCAAUGGACGAGAGUCUGAACCAGCCAAGUAGCGUGAAGGAUGACUGCCCUAUGGGUUGUAAACUUCUGUUAUAUGGGAAUAAAAUGUUCCACGUGUGGGAUUUUGUAUGUACCAUAUGAAUAAGGAUCGGCUAACUCCGUGCCAGCAGCCGCGGUAAUACGGAGGAUCCGAGCGUUAUCCGGCUUUAUUUGGUUUAAAGGGAGCGUAGGUGGCUUGUGAAGUCAGUUGUGAAAGUUUGCGGCUCAACCGUAAAAUUGCAGUUGAAACUGGCAGUCUUGCGUACCGUCGCGGUGGGCGGACUUCGUGGUGUCGCGGUGACCUGCUUAGCUCUCACGCAGAACUCCGCUUGC